GAUCAUGGCUCAGAACGAACGCUGGCGGCAGGCUUAACACAUGCAAGUCGAACGCCGUAGCAAUACGGAGUGGCAGACGGGUGAGUAACGCGUGGGAACAUACCUUUCGGUUCGGAAUAACUCAGGGAAACUUGUGCUAAUACCGGAUACGUCCGCAAGGAGAAAGAUUUAUCGCCGAAAGAUUGGCCCGCGUCUGAUUAGCUUGUUGGUGAGGUAAUGGCUCACCAAGGCGACGAUCAGUAGCUGGUCUGAGAGGAUGAUCAGCCACAUUGGGACUGAGACACGGCCCAAACUCCUACGGGAGGCAGCAGUGGGGAAUAUUGGACAAUGGGCGCAAGCCUGAUCCAGCCAUGCCGCGUGAGUGAUGAAGGCCUUAAGUGGGUUGUAAAGCUCUUUUACCUGGGAAAGUAUAAUGACGGGUACCAGGAGAAAUAAAGCCCCGGCUAA
RNAcentral lists this ribosomal RNA (447 nucleotides) under uncultured bacterium. Its description in RNAcentral is "bacterial SSU rRNA". It matches the Rfam family "Bacterial small subunit ribosomal RNA", at positions 15 to 500 of the family's 1533-position model. The record is from RNAcentral.